Molecule: ribosomal RNA, 449 nt
Filed under: uncultured bacterium
Lineage: Bacteria
Description: partial 16S ribosomal RNA
Rfam family: Bacterial small subunit ribosomal RNA
Source: RNAcentral
AGCGAACGCUGGCGGCAGGCUUAACACAUGCAAGUCGAGCGGGCCCCUCGGGGUCAGCGGCGGACGGGUGAGUAACGCGUGGGAACGUGCCUUCUGGUUCGGAAUAACCCUGGGAAACUAGGGCUAAUACCGGAUACGCCCUUAUGGGGAAAGGUUUACUGCCGGAAGAUCGGCCCGCGUCUGAUUAGCCAGUUGGUGGGGUAACGGCCUACCAAGGCGACGAUCAGUAGCUGGUCUGAGAGGAUGAUCAGCCACACUGGGACUGAGACACGGCCCAGACUCCUACGGGAGGCAGCAGUGGGGAAUAUUGGACAAUGGUCGCAAGCCUGAUCCAGCCAUGCCGCGUGAGUGAUGAAGGCCUUAGGGUUGUAAAGCUCUUUUAUCCGGGACGAUAAUGACGGUACCGGAGGAAUAAGCCCCGGCUAACUUCGUGCCAGCCGCCGCGGUAA